AGCGAACGCUGGCGGCAGGCUUAACACAUGCAAGUCGAGCGGGCCCUUCGGGGUCAUCGGCGGACGGGUUAGUAACGCGUGGUAACUUUCCUUCUUGUCUGGAAUAACCCUUGGAAACUUGUGCUAAUACCGGAUACGCCCUUUUGUGGAAAGGUUUACUGCCUGAUGAUCGGCCCGCUUCUGAUUAGCUUGUUGGUUGGGUAACUGCCUACCAAGGCGACGAUCAGUAGCUGGUAUGAGAGGAUGAUAAUCCACACUGGGACUGAGACACGGCCCAGACUACUACGGGAGGCAGCAGUGGGGAAUAUUGGAAAAUGGGCGAAAGGCUGAUCCAGCCAUGCCGGGUGAGUGAUGAAGGCAUUAGGGUUGUAAAGCUCUAUUAACAGGGACGAUAAUGACGGUACCGGAGGAAUAAGCACCGGCUAACUACGUG
Molecule: ribosomal RNA, 433 nt
Filed under: uncultured bacterium
Lineage: Bacteria
Description: partial 16S ribosomal RNA
Rfam family: Bacterial small subunit ribosomal RNA
Source: RNAcentral